Molecule: long non-coding RNA, 931 nt
Filed under: Mus musculus (house mouse)
Lineage: Eukaryota; Metazoa; Chordata; Mammalia; Rodentia; Muridae
Description: long non-coding RNA chr12:72580023-72580954
Source: RNAcentral
UUUAACAUGGUGUGGGCAGUUCCAUUCAGUGUAUCCAUGAUUCAUAUACUUGGCUUGGAAACCGAAAAAACUUGAAAUAAAAUCUCACCAGCUAAAUUUUGUUCUUUGUGUUUAGAGAGGGAUAUCCAUGUGUAUAGGUGCCUACCCAGGCUUGUGGAGGCCAGAGGCCAACCUCAGGCAGUAUCUCUCUCAGGGACUUGGACUUGCUGAGUUGGCUAGACUGGCCAACCAGUGAGACCCAUGCUGUGUCCACCUCUGCAGCCAGUGAGACCCACACUGUGUCUACCUCCGCAGCAGUGGGAUAAGAAGCACACACCUCGGUGCCUGGCUUUCUGCAUGAGGGCUGGAGAACAACUUGAGGUCACCAUGCCUAGAUGGCAAGCACUUUACCAACUAAGAGACCGUCCCAGCCAAAUUUCUCUCCCACAAAUUUCUAUUAUAUAUAAAUGAAACAGCUCUUCAUUCACCGUGAGUGUUCUCACAACCAGAAGACAUCCCAUAGUUCUGACUCCACAUGCAAUAAUGAAUUACCCAGUGGGACCAUCAGGGCUCUGAGUAUUUGAGCUGAAACUUGGAAGUAAUGGGAAAUUUCCUUAAAGUGGUAAGAGUUUCAUCAUUAUCCUCUCGCUGCCUAGAAAUGAGUUACAGUUACCUGGAGGGAAGGAAGACGAUGAUGUAAGCCUCUGCAGAUGGGAACCUGCUUUAUUCCUUACUCGAUUUCUAACUAAACCGCCAAGAACUCAGAGAAUCUCAAGAUGAUGAUGCAUUUUCUUUAGAAAUGACUGAGCUUGCUGGGCAGUGGUGGAUCACACCUUUAAUCCCAGCACUUGGGAGGUAGAGGCAGAAAGAUUUCUGAGUUUGAAGCCAGCCUGGUCUACAGGUCUACAGAGUAAGUUCCAGUACUUCAGGGCUACAGAGAAACCCUGUCUCG